This 265-nucleotide unclassified non-coding RNA is filed under the name Hevea brasiliensis (rubber tree). Lineage: Eukaryota; Viridiplantae; Streptophyta; Magnoliopsida; Malpighiales; Euphorbiaceae. The record is from RNAcentral.
GAUUUUUAUGCUGACAGUUUCAAGUGAUAAUGCUUGUGUUGUUUGAGUACCUUUAUGUUGAUGGAAUAUGUUUUAUGGAAUUGAAUUCUAGCUGAUGGGUGGCAAACCAGUUGUUGAAUGAACAUGUUGUAGUCUCCUAUUGGUGAUAAUUCAGAUUUCAAGGUUGACAUAACUAGUAAUUUUUAGAUUGCAGAUGGUUAUGUAAUUGCUAAUGUAAUUUUAUAAAAUCUUGAUUUCUUUCAGGUUGAGUUGGUUGAUCCACCUG